This 253-nucleotide ribosomal RNA is filed under the name uncultured bacterium. Its description in RNAcentral is "partial 16S ribosomal RNA". It matches the Rfam family "Bacterial small subunit ribosomal RNA", at positions 524 to 776 of the family's 1533-position model. The record is from RNAcentral.
UACGGGGGGGGCAAGCGUUGUUCGGAAUUACUGGGCGUAAAGGGCCAGUAGGCGGCCAACUAAGUCGGAUGUGAAAUCCCCAGGCUCAACCUGGGAACUGCAUCCGAUACUGGAUGGCUUGAAUUCGGGAGAGGGAUGCAGAAUUCCGGGUGUAGUGGUGAAAUGCGUAGAGAUCCGGAGGAACACCAGUGGCGAAGGCGACACGCUGGGCCGUACCUGACGCUAAGACGCGACAGCAUGGGGAGCGAACGGG